Molecule: unclassified non-coding RNA, 338 nt
Filed under: soil metagenome
Description: partial contains 5.8S ribosomal RNA, internal transcribed spacer 2, and large subunit ribosomal RNA
Rfam family: 5.8S ribosomal RNA (bases 1-121)
Source: RNAcentral
GAUGAAGAACGCAGCGAAAUGCGAUAAGUAAUGCGAAUUGCAGAAUUUCCGUGAGUCAUCGAAUCUUUGAACGCACAUUGCGCCCCUUGGUAUUCCAUGGGGCAUGCCUGUUCGAGCGUCAUUUGUACCUUCAAGCUUUGCUUGGUGUUGGGUGUUUGUCUCGCCUCCGCGUGUAGACUCGCCUCAAAACAAUUGGCAGCCGGCGUAUUGAUUUCGGAGCGCAGUACAUCUCGCGCUUUGCACUCACAACGACGACGUCCAAAAGUACAUUUUUACACUCUUGACCUCGGAUCAGGUAGGGAUACCCGCUGAACUUAAGCAUAUCAAUAAGCGGAGGA